Non-coding RNA from Marmota monax (woodchuck), 72 nucleotides. Lineage: Eukaryota; Metazoa; Chordata; Mammalia; Rodentia; Sciuridae. The record is from the annotation of a RefSeq genome assembly.
GGGGAUGUAGUUCAGUGGUAGAGCACUCACCUAGAACGUGCGAGGCCCUGGGUUCAAUCCCCAGUACCACCA